UGGUCCUGUAAGGGCAGUGGAAGGAAAGGUUAUGAAGGUUGGAAACUGCUCUUUUGUCAUUUUGCAUGAACAGCAACUACAAUACAUUUGCUGUUCCUUCACAACAAACUAACCCUCCUUGGUUCUCACACACUAAAACCCAUUUCUUUUAAAGAUCUUUCAACUUCUGAGGGAGGGCUUAGGCUGUGUGGGUAUUUCUACCACUUAUCAGUUUGUAAAUCAAACUGUUUUCUGUUCUGUUGGGAGAAAGCUCACCAGGGCUUGGCAGCAUGGAAAUGACUGGAGAAAUUACACAUGGGCUGAUGGUAAGAAGUAUAGAUUGGGAGUUCAAGAAUCCUGGGAUAUGGGGAUUUUAUUGAUUUGGAAUAUAUUUUUUAUUGCCCAUAUUUUACUUUUAAGAUCAAUCUGUAACACAAAAAAUGUUUCCCACCACCCCCAUGCCCAGGGGCCGAGUUGUGAACCAAAGAGUAACUAGGUCUUUGAAACUGUUCCAACUUUCUUUCUACCUCCUCCCCACUUUGCUCCUUUACUUUGCAGAAUUCUAGUUCAAGGCCUGUGGUUGACAAACAUCCAGACAUUAUACUUAGGGAAGUCCAACUGAAAAUCUAAAAGACUAACCCCAAAGCUGCAUGCAAGACCAGCAUGUGCAUUCCCUAGACUAAUUGUCCCUGCAUGGGACACUGCUAAUAUUACCAAGAGUAAUAGAGGGAAAAGAGAUUUUUCUCCUUUUCUCAAAACAACCAAAAAAAAAAAAAAAAAAACCACUGGAUUUGAGUUAGAAGGCUUGGACUAUCAGUGCUCAUUGUUUAACAGAGGUCAAGAGCUAAACCUCACCAAAGAAUGAAAGGGAUACCACUCUCUGUGGUGGUUUGAAGAUGCUUGGCCCAGGGAGUGGCACUAUUAGGAGGUGUGGCCCUGGAGUAGGUGUGUCACCGAGAAUGUGGGCUUUAAGACCCUCAUUCUAGCUGUCUGGACGCCAGUCUUCUCCUAGUGGCCUGAGAUGAAGAUGUAGAGCUCUCAGCUCCUGCUGCACCAUGCCUGCCUGGAUGCUGCCAUGCUUCUGCCUUGAUAAUGGACUAAACCUUUAAACCGAUCCUGACAGGAUAAUCACAUUGUUCUGUGUAGUCAACACUGGGAUCAGUACCACUGUGACGCAGGGCUGACAGUGGCCUGCGGCUGCUCUGGGAAAGCUUUGGUUCAGGUCAAAGACGAGACCUUAAGGGAACAAACUCCUCAGAACCUAGAUCUGCUCCUUCCCCAAGCCUGCGCUGCUUCAGCCUUCAUCCACAUUCGUUGAGCAUCCCCAGGGCUGAGAGUCAUUCAUUUCCUCUCCGAGCAGUCACCCUCCUCCCAUUUUGUGUCACCCUUCCACAAGAUUAGUUGUAAUGGUCUCAUUUACUUACCCCCAGCUUUACAGAGUAUGAGGAUUCUCUAGAAACAGCCUGUGUAAAAAAUGGAACCACAAGAGAAUAUGUGUGCUGCCAGAAAGGGAGCGUGUCCGAGGAGCUCUGCAGCGGUGUAGUGAGGGUGCUGGGGGAGGAAGGGCGAGAAGGAAGGAGGGGGCCUGAAAGGGGUGGGUUGUGGACUGUCUGGGCUCUGGGUCUCAGUAAGGAAUGAGGAAGCAGGGUGACCUACAGAAGCCUCCAUGCCAGGCCUGCUGAGUCAGAUGGGAAGACUUAGAGAACACCCACGGCAGGCAUCUUUAUAAACCUCCAGGGCCUGACAUGCCGCCGGAGUCCUGGGGACAGAAACCUGUCCUAUCAUUUGUACAUUGCACAGGGCCAAGUUGCUGAGGGUUGCAAAGGGGGAAAUAUGUAUAAUUUACCUAUGAAUGUGAGGAGCCUCCUACAACUGAACCAUGUACCUCGUUAGCUCCCCAGUAAAGCCACGUGAAGCUAGCGUGUGAUGUCACCGA
Non-coding RNA from Rattus norvegicus (Norway rat), 1915 nucleotides. The record is from RefSeq and is a predicted model, not a curated record. Lineage: Eukaryota; Metazoa; Chordata; Mammalia; Rodentia; Muridae.